RNAcentral lists this ribosomal RNA (496 nucleotides) under uncultured bacterium. RNAcentral's name for it is "partial 16S ribosomal RNA". It matches the Rfam family "Bacterial small subunit ribosomal RNA", at positions 28 to 506 of the family's 1533-position model. The record is from RNAcentral.
GAUGAACGCUGGCGGCGUGCCUAAUACAUGCAAGUCGAGCGAACGGACGAGAAGCUUGCUUCUCUGAUGUUAGCGGCGGACGGGUGAGUAACACGUGGAUAACCUACCUAUAAGACUGGGAUAACUUCGGGAAACCGGAGCUAAUACCGGAUAAUAUUUUGAACCGCAUGGUUCAAAAGUGAAAGACGGUCUUGCUGUCACUUAUAGAUGGAUCCGCGCUGCAUUAGCUAGUUGGUAAGGUAACGGCUUACCAAGGCAACGAUGCAUAGCCGACCUGAGAGGGUGAUCGGCCACACGGGACCUGAGAAACGGUCCAGACUCCUACGGGAGGCAGCAGUAGGGAAUCUUCCGCAAUGGGCGAAAGCCUGACGGAGCAACGCCGCGUGAGUGAUGAAGGUCUUCGGAUCGUAAAACUCUGUUAUUAGGGAAGAACAUAUGUGUAAGUAACUGUGCACAUCUUGACGGUACCUAAUCAGAAAGCCACGGCUAACUACGU